Heterocephalus glaber (naked mole-rat) is the source of this 2615-nucleotide non-coding RNA. NCBI's taxonomy places the organism in Eukaryota, Metazoa, Chordata, Mammalia, Rodentia, Bathyergidae. The record is from RefSeq and is a predicted model, not a curated record.
GGAGCCUUCUUGCUGGGUCAUGACAUGGUGGAAGACAUCUCACGGUGACAUAGUGCAAACCAGGGAGAACUUGAUUUUGUAACGAAGCCAUUCCCAUAAUAACUCAGUAAUCCGUUAAUCUGUUGAUCACAAAUGAAUCAAUCCAUUCAUAAGGACAGAGCCCUUAUGACCUAAUCACCUCUUAAAGGUCCCAGCUAGUCCCACACCUUAACACUUCACAAUAGAGAUUCAACAUGAGUUGUGCGGGGGAUAUGCAGAUCGUGACAGUGCCCUUAUAAAACAGGCCCCAGAAAACGACCUUGCCCCUUCCACCACAAAAGUGCCAUCUAUGGACAAAUAUGUAGGCAAUCACCAGACACCAAAUAUGCUCAAACCUUGAUCUUGGACUUUCCAGCUUCCAGACAAUGAGAGAUAUAUUUCAGCUAUUUAUAAGGAUUUUGUUAGAGUCUGAACAGACUAAGAUAGGUGCCCAGGAGAAGCAACAAUGAGACCAUGUUGGUGGAGCACAGUCCCUCUUCGAAUAGUCACAGCCAAAUAAAGAAACAACUUCUUCUGAGCAAGAGCGAGUAGACACAGCCAUCAAGAGCAUGCCCUUCCGCAUGCUUCAGACGGAAGAUUGCUGUGGUUCGGAUGUGAUUUGUCCCUUGAAGGUUCAUGUGCUGGAAGCUGGUCCUCAAGAGGGCAACAUAGACUGCGGGACCUCCGUCACAGCACCGCCCCCCCGCCCCGACGCAGCACCAUUGUCAGCCACGCGGUGGCGCCAAGACACAGACUGUCAGGUUUUCCGCAGACUUUGGGGAGCAGAGAUGACAGGAGAGAUGCGGAGGAGACUCUCCUGUAGGACCCUUGGAAGGAAACAAGACGCCAGGUCUAGCGUUUGGGGAUCCUCUGGACAAGGCCACAGAGGGACAAAGCCAGGUGAGGACCUCACUGCCCUCAGGCCCUCCUCCCUUAAGCACCUGGAUUUAGCCUUUUUCUCCCUGCUCUCCGUCUGGAACCAGAUUCAGAUCCCAAGAAAGCUCAGCCCUCUCAUUAAAUUGAAAGGGAAACUGAGGCUCAGAGAAGAGUAGUGAUUGACCAGGAUCACAGAGCCAGUUCCUAGAAAAGCAUAUGCCAGAACCCAGGGAGCUUCCUGGCCAGAAGUCAGCCUCCUGUUCCCUGAUGCUGAGGUAGCUGGUACAGAGUGUCCACCUCUGGCCCCUGCCCAGCACCCAGGCAAGGGGCCAGAUGGCUCGGCUCUGGACCAGCUGCUUCUUCUGCAGUGCAGUCCAGACCUAGGUGGGCUUUCUGGAUCAAUGGUUACUCCAGACAAGCUUCUGGAUCCCCUGGACUCCACCACCACCAACCACAUUGCAGCUUACAAACAUCGACUUUCAUCGAAGGCUUCCUGCAGCCCUCAGCUCUCUGGAACUUUCUGGAAUCAAACUUUUCCAGGCUGCCUACAAGUGUCAGUUGGCUUCUGGAUGGACAUGUGGCUGCCAGGCUCUGGUGGGGGCCCCCAUAGCAAUUUGGAUUCAGCCCUUGGAAAUCCUGCCCAGCCCUGAUGGCCCCUGCACUCCCCUCCAGCACCCACCCACGGAGAACCAUGGAGACCAGGAUGCUAAGGAGCAGAGCAGUUCCAGAUAUCUCUGAGCACCCAUUCUGGACUGGGCUGGGGGCCCAGAGCUGGACCUCAUCAAGACCAGCACUUGUGGGCUCCGAGUCUAGUGAAGGAGAGAAGUUUGUAUUCUGGGGAAGUUAGUCCUGAGCUCUGAAUGGUGCUUCCAGGGAACAUGGUUUACCAAAGCCAAGGCAGAAAUGCACAGGACAGGGAACUGAGGUGGUCCUCAGGGAGACGUGAUUUGCUAAGGUCACAUGGCAAGUCGGUGUGUUUGUUGCUGAGAUGAGGACCCAGAACCUUGCCUCCUGUUCCCAGGCUCUUUGCACCUUCAUGCCGGAGGCCAACCUUUGCACCAGAUCCCUGCACUGUGAGCCAGGGACCUGGUUUGGGGUCCAGGCCCCCACCCAAUGUGACUGUCAUUUGAUUCACUUCAUUCUCUGCACUAGGCCUCAAUCACCUAAGACUCUAAAUAAAUGACUCUAAAUAACCCCUGCUCCAGUUGUGAGUCUGGGGCUCUCUGAAAUGUGGGUGUUUGAGCCAGGCUGUGGGUCACUCUGUGGCCAGCUGUGGGACACUACUGUGGGGUUUUCUCCCUCCCACCAGACUAUGUGGACAACUCUAAGGAUUACUUGGGGGUCUAUUUUGUGCACAUUGGACCCCAUCGGACCCCUUCAAUGGUGAGUCACCCCCUGGUGAACUUGGCAUUGGUCUGUAAGAAGGACCCCAGAUGGGCUGGGUUCAAGGAGGGAAAGUACAGUCACUUUCAUUACUUGCUUCUCCAGGUCUACACAGGCCUAGUCUCCAGGGUCCAAGGUGACUCUGCUCAACCGAGAUUGAGAACUUAGUCCCCUGGGAGGCUUCAGGCCCACUCCAGCCCUAGCACAGGAAGCAAGGCUGCAUCUCCACCUGAAAUUGCAUCUCAGAGUUUGCAGCAUUCAGCUUCCAAAGCCUGAGAAACUGUGGGCCAGGUGGGACCCAGGCCCUGAGAUGCUUGGAGCACCAAAAGUGGGAGGAC